GUCAGUGUGUGUGUGUAUUUUAUUUUAAUUGCGAGGAAGCAAAACUAAAGAAGACUACUUGGAAAGCAUUGAAAAGCUGUGGUUCUCUGGGUGCCAUGGCACUCAAUCAAACCACCUAGAAUGGACUGGCCGAGACCAGACUGGGUACCAAGCAGAGAAGUGCAGAGGAAGGCACUGGGAGAGCACCAGAAUUGGAAAUAGAGCGGCCAUUUGGAUUUGGGCAGGAAGCAGCCGAGCACAGCUUUGGAUCCUUCUUUAGGGAAAUCGAGUUAUGGAUUUAUGGUCCCGGUCAAGCUCAGCCCAUCCCCAGCCAGGGGCGGGCUCAGCAAGCAGCA
This 335-nucleotide long non-coding RNA is filed under the name Aotus nancymaae (Ma's night monkey). RNAcentral describes it as "lncRNA (ENSANAG00000038621.1)". The record is from RNAcentral. Lineage: Eukaryota; Metazoa; Chordata; Mammalia; Primates; Aotidae.